UCUGUUCCUUGUGUGCCAGCCGCCGCGGUAAAACGUAGGUCACAAGCGUUGUCCGGAAUUACUGGGUGUAAAGGGAGCGCAGGCGGGAGAACAAGUUGGAAGUGAAAUCCAUGGGCUCAACCCAUGAACUGCUUUCAAAACUGUUUUUCUUGAGUAGUGCAGAGGUAGGCGGAAUUCCCGGUGUAGCGGUGGAAUGCGUAGAUAUCGGGAGGAACACCAGUGGCGAAGGCGGCCUACUGGGCACCAACUGACGCUGAGGCUCGAAAGUGUGGGUAGCAAACAGG
Molecule: ribosomal RNA, 284 nt
Filed under: Faecalibacterium prausnitzii
Lineage: Bacteria; Bacillati; Bacillota; Clostridia; Eubacteriales; Oscillospiraceae
Description: partial 16S ribosomal RNA
Rfam family: Bacterial small subunit ribosomal RNA
Source: RNAcentral